UUUAAACAUUUUCUCUUUCAUUUUUCCAAUAUGCAAAAGGUGAACUCGUUAUGUUUUCUUCUUUCUCUCUGAAAACCCUAGCGCCGCCGUCGAACCACCUUCUGCCUCUUCCUCCGUCACCUCACCUCCAAUCGAAGAAAGGAGGUCAUUUUUGUGUUCAUCAUCACGUGACCUUUAACCUGAACCAGUUGGAUUUUUGUAUUAGACAAUUUCAGUUUAAAUGCAUUAUGCUACUUCGUGAACGGAGGUGGCGAUGUUUGGAUCAACGAGAAUCGCUUCCGCGUCUUGCGUCAGCUCGGAGAAGGCGGCUUCACUUACGUCUACCUCGUCAAGGAAACUCCCAACGACUCUCCCGCCGGUGGCCUCGCCAAUAAACUCAAAGACUUCUCUCAUCUUUCCGGAUUUGAUCUUCCUCAGCCAGGAUUUAGGCCUGCAGAAAGGGUUGAGGAGACGGGUCGGCGACUUGAGAAGUACUGCAAGAAGUUCAAGGUUCCAUUUGAGUACAAUUCGCAGGAAGAUCCAUAUAGGUUGAUGUUUGAGAAAGGGUUAUAUGGAAGGGAUGCAAUAAAUGUGAUAGCUUGUGAGGGAGCAGAGAGAGUUGAAAGGCCAGAGACUUACAAGAAUUGACAGAUGCAAGGAGCCUAUUGAGCCAUUGACAAUUGAAGAAGUAGCUGAAUGUUGCCAUGCUCCAGAAGAUGUACACCAUUUACCUCACUGCUAAAUGCUCUCCAAUAUUAAUUUUUUCAAUUAUGUUAUUGAAUCAAAUUAAUAAAAAGUAUUAAUUAGUUAGAUAGAUUUUUGGUAACAUUUAAUUUUUCUUGAAGAACAUUUAGUAUAUCUGUUGAAGUGUUGAGUGUUGAUUUUUGGUAACACCCUAAUUUUUCUUUGCUUUGGCAUCAACUUUUACUAGAAAGCUUCUAAGUGUUGAGUUAGAGCCACAAUUUGAUAAGCCAUAUCUAAGCACUUCACUUCAAGUUGUGCAUCCAAAAUUUCCUGAAAACAAUACCAUUCACCUAUACUAUAGUCCUUUGAAGAACAUAUAUAAAUCCCUCACAGUCACUAAUUAACAUGUUUGCAUUUUGGCUAUGCUACAAAAAAUCUUUAGGUCUUCUCCUUUAAAUAGUUCUUAAAUUAAGAAAAGAGAAUAGUAGAAUUAUAUAUUUUUUAGUUUUAGCUUUCAUGAUUAAUUUCUUUGUACAUACACACAAUUCAAAACUCUAAACACGUGACAAAUGAUUGAAGGAAUAAGAGAGUUGUGACAAAUCAUGUAUAAAUUAGUAGAAGGUGUGAUGCAGAGCUGAGAUUUAUACUGGUGCCAAUCUUAGCUAGUGAACUAAGUUUUUCUUUUUCUAAAGGUGUAAGAUUCUAUGUAAUAGGGAUGAACAAUUAAAUAACAAGCCAUUGUAGUAAUGAAUUAAUUCUUCAUGGUUGACAUAAGAAAAUUCAGUUUACAUUGAUUAUAAACUUGGUGAUUUUUGAAAACAAAUUGUUUGUUGAAAUGCCACAAUGAGUUUAUUAGGUUGAUUCUGAGUUGGGGCUUGAAUGUUAAUCUUCUAUCAUGGUGGAUGUUUUAUGGACGGUUAGUGUUUAUCUAUGCCUUUCCAAAGUUAAGUUAACCGACGAAGGGCUGAAGCAGUUGUUGCAGAAAUGCUUAUCCCUUCAAAGUUUGAAUCUCUAUGCAGUGUCUAGGUAUGAAUUGAAACUCAACCUAUUGAAGUUCAAUUUGUCUUUCUUUCCCUGAAAAUUCACUGCAUUACUCUUAUUCAGUUUCACAGCUCAUGUUUUUGGAUCUCUGUGGUGCCCAGAAUCUUUCAGACGAAGGACUUGAAUGUAUUUCGAAAUGCAAGAACCUUGUAUCCCUCAAUCUGACUUGGUGUGUACGUGUGACCGAUGAGGGAGUUAUAGUUGUUGCUCAGAGUUGCACCUCUCUUGAAUUUCUAAGUAUGGAUUGAACAAUGGGUGCUACUAGUGUUCAAGCAAUUCAGUGAGGUGUCAAUGUCUUGAUUGAGAAUGAGUAUGGGGCAGAGUAAAUUACUUGGACCUGUUGGCUAUAAUUAUAUGAGCUGGGCUGCAAAAAUGGCUGUUGAAAUGGGAACCGGGGUUCCAUGGGUGAUGUGCAAGGAAGACGAUGCUCCAGAUCUAGUGAUAAACACUUGCAAUGGCUUUUAUUGUGAUAAAUUUACUCCCAAUAAACCUUACAAGCCUACAAUGUGGACAGAGGCUUGGAGUGGCUGUUUCUUCCUAUGUUAGGUUGGAGUGCAAACAUCUCAGAUGGAAAUGUUUCCUACAAAUACUCAUAUGUUCUCAUGGAAGAGUUUCGUUGAAGAUACUUCUUCUAGUUCUACAAAUACAAUCACUGCUUCUGGUCUCUUGGAACAGAUAAAUGUAACAUGAGAUAUAAGUGAUUACCUUUGGUAUAUAACUAGCGUUGAUGUUGAUUCGUCCGAAUCCUUUCUCCAUGGAGGCAAACUCCCUUCUCUCAUUGUUCAGUCCACUGGCCAUGCUGUGCAUGUUUUUAUCAAUGGUCGACUUUCUGGCUCUGCCUAUGGAACGAGGGAGGACAGGAGAUUCAGAUAUAUUGGCGAUGUAAAUCUUCGUGUCGGAACAAACACUAUAGCUUUGCUAUGUGUGCUGUUGGACUUCCAGUAAGUUUUGUUUUCCACCCUUAUUUUCAGAAGAUCAUUCUACUAUGGAUUUUAUUCUUCACCUACUACUUAGUGCUUACUGAUAUCAUUCUUUUUUUUAUAAUGUUUCAAAAGUUUAUAAUUUUUUUUAAUUUGAGAUAGAAAUUACCUGCGGAUUUACCUGCGGAAAUUUCCUGCGGAUUUACCUGCGGAAAUUUCCUGCGGAUAUACCUGCGGAAUUACCUGCGGAAUUUGCUGCCGAAAAUAUUACCCACGAAGGUUUUAGCUGGGGACAUAAAGCCGCAGGAAAAUCCGCAGGAAACGUGUUUCCUGCGGAAAUUUGGCUAAAAUCUGCAGGUAAAUCCGCAGGAAAUUUGAGUAUUUCUAGUAGUGUAUAUUCUGGUGUUAAAACUUAGUUAUUGAAUUCAUCUAACAAGUGAGAUUUUACUAAAGAAACAAGAGAGGGAAGG
Long non-coding RNA from Vicia villosa (hairy vetch), 3094 nucleotides. RefSeq lists it as uncharacterized. The transcript is spliced from 11 exons. The record is from RefSeq and is a predicted model, not a curated record. Lineage: Eukaryota; Viridiplantae; Streptophyta; Magnoliopsida; Fabales; Fabaceae.